ACUCAAAGGAAUUGACGGGGGCCCGCACAAGCGGUGGAGCAUGUGGCUUAAUUCGAUGCAACGCGAAGAACCUUACCUGGCCUUGACAUGUAUGUAGUAGAAGGAUGAAAGUCUGACGAGGUAGCAAUACCAGCAUACACAGGUGCUGCAUGGCUGUCGUCAGCUCGUGCCGUGAGGUGUUCGGUUAAGUCCGGUAACGAGCGCAACCCCUAUGUCCUGUUGCCACUCCGAGUAAUCGGAAGCACUCUGGACAGACUGCCCUGCAUAACGGGGAGGAAGGUGGGGAUGACGUCAAGUCAGUAUGGUCCUUACGGCCAGGGCUGCACACGUGCUACAAUGCCCAGUACAAAUGGAAGCCAACUCGCGAGAGGGAGCCAAUCCAAGAAAACUGGGCUCAGUUCAGAUUGUAGGCUGCAACUCGCCUACAUGAAGCUGGAAUCGCUAGUAAUGGUGCAUCAGCUACGGCACCGUGAAUACGUUCCCGGGCCUUGUACACACCGCCCGU
Molecule: ribosomal RNA, 505 nt
Filed under: uncultured bacterium
Lineage: Bacteria
Description: partial 16S ribosomal RNA
Rfam family: Bacterial small subunit ribosomal RNA
Source: RNAcentral